This 72-nucleotide transfer RNA is filed under the name Camelus bactrianus (Bactrian camel). It matches the Rfam family "tRNA". From Rfam's summary of the family: Transfer RNA (tRNA) molecules are approximately 80 nucleotides in length. Their secondary structure includes four short double-helical elements and three loops (D, anti-codon, and T loops). The record is from Rfam by way of RNAcentral. RNAcentral also lists the same sequence under 2 other names. Lineage: Eukaryota; Metazoa; Chordata; Mammalia; Artiodactyla; Camelidae.
GAGGGUAUAGCUCAGUGGUAGAGCUCGUGCUUAGCAUACACGAAGUCAUGGGUUCAAUCCUCAUUCCCUCCA